AUUGAACGCUGGCGGAAUGCUUUACACAUGCAAGUCGAACGGCAGCACGGACUUCGGUCUGGUGGCGAGUGGCGAACGGGUGAGUAAUGCAUCGGAACGUGCCCAGUCGUGGGGGAUAACGUAGUGAAAAUUACGCUAAUACCGCAUACGAUCUAUGGAUGAAAGCGGGGGAUCGCAAGACCUCGCGCGAUUGGAGCGGCCGAUAUCGGAUUAGGUAGUUGGUGGGGUAAAGGCCCACCAAGCCAACGAUCUGUAGCUGGUCUGAGAGGACGACCAGCCACACUGGAACUGAGACACGGUCCAGACUCCUACGGGAGGCAGCAGUGGGGAAUUUUGGACAAUGGGCGAAAGCCUGAUCCAGCCAUUCCGCGUGCAGGAUGAAGGCCCUCGGGUUGUAAAUUGCUUUUGUACAGAACGAAAAGGUUUCUACUAAUACUAGGAGCUCAUGACGGUACUGCAAGAAUAAGCACCGGCUAACUACGUGCCAGCCGCCGCGGUAA
RNAcentral lists this ribosomal RNA (500 nucleotides) under uncultured bacterium. Its description in RNAcentral is "partial 16S ribosomal RNA". It matches the Rfam family "Bacterial small subunit ribosomal RNA", at positions 30 to 523 of the family's 1533-position model. The record is from RNAcentral.